UGGGGAAUAUUGCGCAAUGGGCGAAAGCCUGACGCAGCGACGCCGCGUGGGGGAUGAAGGCCUUCGGGUUGUAAACCCCUUUCAGCAGGGACGAAGCGAAAGUGACGGUACCUGCAGAAGAAGCGCCGGCUAACUACGUGCCAGCAGCCGCGGUAACACGUAGGGCGCAAGCGUUGUCCGGAAUUAUUGGGCGUAAAGAGCUCGUAGGCGGUCUGUUGCGUCCGCUGUGAAAACUCGGGGCUUAACCCCGAGCCUGCAGUGGAUACGGGCAGACUAGAGGUAGGUAGGGGAGAAUGGAAUUCCCGGUGUAGCGGUGAAAUGCGCAGAUAUCGGGAGGAACACCGGUGGCGAAGGCGGUUCUCUGGGCCUUACCUGACGCUGAGGAGCGAAAGCGUGGGGAGCGAACAGGAUUAGAUACCCUGGUAGUCCACGCCGUAAACGUUGGGCGCUAGGUGUGGGAUCCUUCCACGGAUUCCGUGCCGCAGCUAACGCAUUAAGCGCCCCGCCUGGGGAGUACGGCCGCAAGGCUA
Molecule: ribosomal RNA, 530 nt
Filed under: uncultured actinomycete
Lineage: Bacteria; Bacillati; Actinomycetota; Actinomycetes; Actinomycetales
Description: bacterial SSU rRNA
Rfam family: Bacterial small subunit ribosomal RNA
Source: RNAcentral